UUGCAGUGUACUAGCUGCACCCUAAUAAUUGAUUGUACCCCUGUUUUCAUUCCACAGUAAAUGAAAGGAAUCUAACACUGUGCUGAAGGUGGCAGUUUCCAAUCAAAUAAUGCAUUACAGAUUCAUAGCCUGCCUUUUUCUCACAAUAAGACAAUGAGAGCCAUGUAGCAGUAUUGAUUACGAUAUUUCUCAGCCUGCCAUGUUACUCAAAUUAGUUCAUUGGUUUGGGCUACAUUCUUCUUCUAAAUCCUGCUAGUCUGAAGAAACCCAAAAGAAUAAAGUAGCUGUUCCUAAGAGGUGUGUGUACCUUACUUCUCUUUGUGUUGCAUCUAUUAAAUCUGCAUAGGUGUUACUGUGAAGGAUUUUACAGAGGAUGGAUUGAUGAAGUCUCAUGGCCAAGGCUGAGUCAAAGGCAGAGUGUAUUAGCCCUGCUAAUGAAUGCUUUAUCUUUUCUCCAUCAAUAAUAUUUUAUUUUUAAAUGACCAUUACCUAAACAUUACAAUUAGAGCCUCUUCUUUGACAACCUUAAUUAAAUUGAAUUAAUAUUUAA
Molecule: long non-coding RNA, 550 nt
Organism: Pipra filicauda (Wire-tailed manakin)
Lineage: Eukaryota; Metazoa; Chordata; Aves; Passeriformes; Pipridae
Exons: 4
Source: RefSeq, a predicted model, not a curated record